UUUAGAUGGUACACGUCUGCAAGUAGUUGUUGAAAAAAAUAAAAUAUCCCCUGGAUAGUCCAACAUCCUCAUUAUAUAACUCAAAACUAGAUGUUUCUAAGUGGGUGGAUCAGAGUUUGGCCAGGUAGUUUAUUGCCCACUCCAUAUUUUCUUAAACUUUCUUGUCCUUUGAAGACCCCAAAGUGAGAGUACAUGCACCAAUACAUUUUACAAUGCCCUAUGUCCAGCUCUGGUGAUGGUUAUCUAGAUGUGUUAUGGUCUAGGCCUGGUGUAAGAUCAAAGCCCACAAUAAAGGUUAUCCCAACAUUUACAAAAAACAACUCAUAACAUAUCAAAGGCCAACUCAUGCUUUGGCAAUAUCCAG
Pelobates cultripes (western spadefoot toad) is the source of this 364-nucleotide non-coding RNA. The record is from the annotation of a GenBank genome assembly. NCBI's taxonomy places the organism in Eukaryota, Metazoa, Chordata, Amphibia, Anura, Pelobatidae.